Molecule: small nuclear RNA, 141 nt
Organism: Cebus imitator (Panamanian white-faced capuchin)
Lineage: Eukaryota; Metazoa; Chordata; Mammalia; Primates; Cebidae
Gene: U4
Rfam family: U4 spliceosomal RNA
About the family: U4 small nuclear RNA (U4 snRNA) is a component of the major U2-dependent spliceosome. The structure of U4 snRNA from yeast and human has been reported.
Source: Ensembl
AGCUUUGUGCAGUGGCAGUAUCGUAGCCAAGGAGGUUUAUCCAUGGCGUGAUUAUUGCUAAUUGAAAACUUUUCCCAGUACUCCACCGUGACCACUUGAAAUAUAGUUGGCAUUGGCAAUUUUUGACAGUCUCUACAGAGA